Molecule: ribosomal RNA, 458 nt
Filed under: uncultured bacterium
Lineage: Bacteria
Description: partial 16S ribosomal RNA
Rfam family: Bacterial small subunit ribosomal RNA
Source: RNAcentral
GAUAAACGCUGGCGGCGUGCAUGAGACAUGCAAGUCGAACGAAGGAUCGGGCUUGCUCGAUCCUUAGUGGCGGACGGCUGAGUAACGCGUAGGUGACCUACCCCGAAGUGGGGAAUAACUGCCCGAAAGGGUGGCUAAUACCGCAUGUGGUCGCACGUUCAUUCGUGCGAGUAAAGCCGCAAGGCGCUUCGGGAGGGGCCUGCGUCCGAUUAGCCCGUUGGUGGGGUAAUGGCUUACCAAGGCGACGAUCGGUAGGUGGUCUGAGAGGACGAUCACCCAGACUGGGACUGAGACACGGCCCAGACUCCUACGGGAGGCAGCAGCCGGGAAUUUUGCUCAAUGGGGGAAACCCUGAAGCAGCAACGCCGCGUGAGGGAUGAAGGCCUUCGGGUUGUAAACCUCUUUUGUCGGGGACGAUGAUGACGGUACCUGGCGAAUAAGCCACGGCUAACUACGUG